RNAcentral lists this ribosomal RNA (455 nucleotides) under uncultured Leptolinea sp. RNAcentral describes it as "bacterial SSU rRNA". It matches the Rfam family "Bacterial small subunit ribosomal RNA", at positions 916 to 1381 of the family's 1533-position model. Lineage: Bacteria; Bacillati; Chloroflexota; Anaerolineae; Anaerolineales; Anaerolineaceae. The record is from RNAcentral.
GACGGGCCCCGCACAAGCAGCGGAGCGUGUGGUUUAAUUCGAUGUUACACGAAGAACCUUACCAGGGUUUGACAUGCAAGUGGUAGGAAGCCGAAAGGUGACCGACCUUCGGGGAGCUUGCACAGGUGCCGCAUGGCUGUCGUCAGCUCGUGUCGUGAGAUGUUCGGUUAAGUCCGCUAACGAGCGCAACCCUCGCUGUGUGUUAUAUGUGUCACACGGGACUGCCGGUCUUAAGCCGGAGGAAGGUGGGGAUGAUGUCAAGUCAGCAUGGCCUUUAUAUCCUGGGCUACACACACGCUACAAUGGCCAACACAAUAGGUUGCUAAGCCGCGAGGUGGCGCCAAUCCAUAAAGUUGGUCUCAGUUCAGAUUGUAGGCUGCAACCCGCCUGCAUGAAGAUGGAGUUGCUAGUAACCGCAGGUCAGCUAUACUGCGGUGAAUACGUUCCCGGGGCUU